Molecule: small RNA, 108 nt
Filed under: Marmota monax (woodchuck)
Lineage: Eukaryota; Metazoa; Chordata; Mammalia; Rodentia; Sciuridae
Source: RNAcentral
GCCAGGCGUGGUUGUGCACACCUGUAAUCCCAGCGACUCAGAAGGCUGAGACAGGAGGAUGGCAAGUUUGAGGUCAGCCUUCAGCCACUUAGCAAGACCUUGUCUCAA